GGAAGGAUCAUUAUUGAAUAAACCUGACGGGUUGUUGCUGGUUCUCUAGGGAGCAUGUGCACACCUUGUCAUCUUUAAAUCUCCACCUGUGCACCUUUUGUAGACCUGAAAAGGUCUAUGUUGCUUCAUUUACCCCAAUGUAUGUUAAUAGAAUGUUGUGCCUAUAUAAUAAAUAUAUACAACUUUCAGCAACGGAUCUCUUGGCUCUCGCAUCGAUGAAGAACGCA
Molecule: unclassified non-coding RNA, 227 nt
Filed under: uncultured Cortinarius
Lineage: Eukaryota; Fungi; Basidiomycota; Agaricomycetes; Agaricales; Cortinariaceae
Description: sequence contains ITS1, 5.8S rRNA gene, ITS2
Rfam family: 5.8S ribosomal RNA (bases 181-227)
Source: RNAcentral